GGACUUGAAUCUUUCCCAGGCCUGCUGCCUGGUGCUGGUCUGGGAACAGAAAGUGCUAUACUGAGCAGAGGCUAUCCAGAUGAGUUGUUUCCCAUUUGUCUUGGACCUGUCUCUACAGCUCUGCCACAUUG
This is a small nucleolar RNA of Nannospalax galili (Upper Galilee mountains blind mole rat), 131 nucleotides long. The record is from Ensembl. Lineage: Eukaryota; Metazoa; Chordata; Mammalia; Rodentia; Spalacidae.